This 254-nucleotide ribosomal RNA is filed under the name uncultured bacterium. RNAcentral's name for it is "partial 16S ribosomal RNA". It matches the Rfam family "Bacterial small subunit ribosomal RNA", at positions 524 to 776 of the family's 1533-position model. The record is from RNAcentral.
UACAGAGGGUGCGAGCGUUGUCCGGAAUCACUGGGCGUAAAGGGCGCGUAGGUGGUGGCUUAAGCGUGCGGUGAAAGCUCGGAGCUCAACUCCGAGUCGGCCGUGCGAACUGGGCUCACUGGAGCAUAGUAGAGGCAGGUGGAAUUCCGGGUGUAGCGGUGGAAUGCGUAGAGAUCGGGAAGAAUACCUGUGGCGAAGGCGGCCAGCUGGGCCAGAUCCGACACUGAGGCGCGAAAGCGUGGGGAGCAAACAGG